RNAcentral lists this long non-coding RNA (998 nucleotides) under Salmo salar (Atlantic salmon). Its description in RNAcentral is "lncRNA (ENSSSAG00000119683.1)". The stretch from base 202 to 255 matches the Rfam family "UnaL2 LINE 3' element". The record is from RNAcentral. Lineage: Eukaryota; Metazoa; Chordata; Actinopteri; Salmoniformes; Salmonidae.
GGUGAUACAGCCCGACAGGAUGCUCUCGAUUGUGCAUCUGUAAAAGUUUGUGAGUGUUUUAGGUGACAAGCCAAAUUUCUCAGCCUCCUUAGGUUGAAGAGGUGCUGUUACGCCAUUCUUCACCAAAAAAAAGAUUUAAAAAAAGAAAAAGAUAUAGAUGUACUAUUGUAAAGUGGUUGUUCCACUGGAUAUCAUAAGGUGAAUGCACCAAUUUGUAAGUCGCUCUGGAUAAGAGCGUCUGCUAAAUGAUGUAAAUGUAAAUGUAAAUGUGUGUGAGUGCGUUUGUGUGUAUUGUGUGUGUGUGUGUGUGUGUGUGUGUGUGUGUGUGUGUGUGUGUGUGUGUGUGUGUGUGUGUGUGUGUGUGUGUGUGUGUGUGAGUGCGUGUUCCAGUGUCAGUGUGUAGGUCCUUUAAAGCUACCUGACUUUCCCGAGUCUCCACACAGGUAGAGAUAUGUCUAUAGGUGUAGAUACGUCUAUAGGUGUAGAUGUGUCUAUAGGUGUAGAUGUGUCUAUAGGUGUAGAUGUGUCUAUAGGUGUAGAUACGUCUAUAGGUGUAGAUGUGUCUAUAGGUGUAGAUACGUCUACAGGUGUAGAUACGUCUAUAGGUGGAGAUACGUCUAUAGGUGUAGAUGUGUCUAUAGGUGUAGAUGUGUCUAUAGGUGUAGAUGUGUCUAUAGGUGUAGAUGUGUCUAUAGGUGUAGAUAUGUCUAUAGGUGUAGAUAUGUCUAUAGGUGUAGAUGUGUCUAUAGGUGUAGAUAUGUCUAUAGGUGUAGAUAUGUCUAUAGGUGUAGAUACGUCUAUAGGUGGAGAUACGUCUAUAGGUGUAGAUACGUCUAUAGGUGUAGAUGUGGUGUGUGUAAUCAGAUGGUUGAGAGAGUGCAUAUGUAAUGUAAGUUACUACAGAAUGGACAAUAUUAUGUCUGCAAAACAGGGUUGAAAUGUCUCAAAAUAAAUCAAAUCAAAAUAGAUUUCUUGCCCUUUGUGCUGUUGUCUGUGCC